UACGAAGGUCCCAAGCGUUAUCCGGAUUUAUUGGGUUUAAAGGGUGCGUAGGCGGGUUAUUAAGUCAGUGGUGAAAGCCUACAGCUUAACUGUAGAAUUGCCAUUGAUACUGAUGAUCUUGAGUAUGAUUGAGGUGGGCGGAAUGUGUCAUGUAGCGGUGAAAUGCUUAGAUAUGACACAGAACACCGAUUGCGAAGGCAGCUCACUACGCCAUAACUGACGCUGAUGCACGAAAGCGUGGGGAGCAAACAGG
This 253-nucleotide ribosomal RNA is filed under the name uncultured bacterium. Its description in RNAcentral is "partial 16S ribosomal RNA". It matches the Rfam family "Bacterial small subunit ribosomal RNA", at positions 524 to 776 of the family's 1533-position model. The record is from RNAcentral.